This 2095-nucleotide ribosomal RNA is filed under the name marine metagenome. Its description in RNAcentral is "bacterial LSU rRNA". It matches the Rfam family "Bacterial large subunit ribosomal RNA", at positions 1 to 2071 of the family's 2925-position model. The record is from RNAcentral.
GUCAGGUAGUAAGGGCGCAGGGCGGAUGCCUUGGCUCUGGGAAGCGAUGAAGGACGUGGCUAGCUGCGAUAAGCCUCGGGGAAGAGCAAACAUCUUUUGAUCCGGGGAUUUCCGAAUGGGGGAACCCGCAUGGCUGUUGAGGCCAUGCACUGUUGAGUGAAUACAUAGCUCAUCAGGGCGAACUCGGGGAACUGAAACAUCUCAGUACCCGAAGGAAUAGAAAUCAACCGAGAUUCUGCUAGUAGCGGCGAGCGAACGCGGAAGAGCCCAAACCAUCAGGUGCGCCUGAUGGGGUUGUAGGGCCGUCAAUAAAGGAUAAUUGGAGAAUUAGCUGAAGUGUCUGGGAAGGCACGGCACAGAGGGUUAGACCCCCGUAAGCGAAAGUUUGAAGAUGUCCGAGACGGUACCUGAGUAGGACGGGACACGAGAAAUCCCGUUUGAAUCUGGGGGGACCACCCUCCAAGGCUAAAUAUUACCCAGAGACCGAUAGUGAACCAGUACCGUGAGGGAAAGGUGAAAAGCACCUCGAAUAGAGGAGUGAAAUAGAUCCUGAAACCCUGUGUCUACAAGCAGUGGAAGCACUACUGAUCUUCGGAUCAUGUGCGACCGCGUGCCUUUUGCAUAAUGAGCCAACGAGUUGUCUGUCGGUGGCAGGUUAAGUUUUUAACGAAGCCACAGCGAAAGCGAGUCCGAAAUGGGCGUUAGUCAUCGGCAACAGACCCGAAACCGAGUGAUCUACCCCUGUCCAGGUUGAAGCCUGGGUAAGACCAGGUGGAAGACCGAACCGUUGAGCCUUAAAACGUUCUCGGAUGAGGUGGGGGUAGGAGUGAAAGGCUAAUCAAACUCGGAGAUAGCUGGUUCUCCCCGAAAUAUAUUGAGGUAUAGCCUCGUGAUAGACCGCCGGAGGUAGAGCACUGGAUGGACUAGGGCCCUCACCAGGGUACCAAACCCAACCAAACUGCGAAUACCGGCGAGUUGUUUCACGGGAGUCAGACAGCGGGAGCUAACUUUCGUUGUCGAGAGGGAAACAACCCAGACCAUCAGCUAAGGCCCCCAAGUCAUGACUAAGUGGGAAAGGAAGUGGGAGCGCCCAGACAACCAGGAGGUUGGCUUAGAAGCAGCCACCCUUUAAAGAAAGCGUAACAGCUCACUGGUCGAGCGAGCCUGCACCGAAAAUAUAACGGGGCUCAAGUCAUGCGCCGAAGCUAUGGGAUUUAUAUUUAUAUAAAUCGGUAGGGGAGCGUUCCCUGUGCGGCGAAGCUGAAUCGAGAGGGUCAGUGGAGCGCAGGGAAGUGAGGAUGUUGGCAUAAGUAACGAAAAUGCGAGCGAGAAACUCGCACGCCGAAAGCCCAAGGUUUCCCGGGCCAUGUUAUUCAGCCCGGGGUUAGUCGGCACCUAAGACGAGGCCGAAAGGCGUAGUCGAUGGAAAACCGGUUCAUAUUCCGGUACUUGCAUGUGCGCGUGAUGGAGGGACGCAGGAGGAUAGCCCGGCCAAGUGAUGGAUAUCUUGGUUCAAGGCCGUAGGCGGAAGUCUCAGGUAAAUCCGGGACUUCUAUAACGCCGAGAGUCGAUGACGAGAGGCUUUGCUUCGCAAAGCGGUCGAUUCCACACUGCCAAGAAAAGCUUCUAAGCAUAGCACAGGCAAACCGUACCCCAAACCGACACAGGUGGGCGGGUAGAGAAUACCAAGGCGCUUGAGGGAAAUCAUGUUAAGGAACUCUGCAAAAUAACUCCGUAACUUCGGAAGAAGGAGUGCCUGCGGUGGUGAAGGGACUUGCUCCCUGAGCUGCUGCGGGCCGCAGUGACCAGGCCCAGCCGACUGUUUAGCAAAAACACAGCACUCUGCUAAAUCGCAAGAUGAUGUAUAGGGUGUGACGCCUGCCCGGUGCCGGAAGGUUAAUGGGAGGGGUUAGUUCUUCGGAACGAAGCUCCGAACUGAAGCCCCGGUAAACGGCGGCCGUAACUAUAACGGUCCUAAGGUAGCGAAAUUCCUUGUCGGGUAAGUUCCGACCUGCACGAAUCGUGCAACGACCGGUCCGCUGUCUCGGAGAGAAUCUCGGCGAAGUUGUAAUUGCGGUGAAGAUGCCGCAUACCC